GCCCCCGUGAUGGAAUGGCAGACAUGCAUGGUUUAGGACCAUGUCCCGAAAGGGGUAGAGGUUCAAAUCCUCUCGGGGGCA
RNAcentral lists this transfer RNA (81 nucleotides) under Candidatus Nealsoniibacteriota bacterium. RNAcentral describes it as "tRNA-Leu". It matches the Rfam family "tRNA". From Rfam's summary of the family: Transfer RNA (tRNA) molecules are approximately 80 nucleotides in length. Lineage: Bacteria; Candidatus Nealsoniibacteriota. The record is from RNAcentral. RNAcentral also lists the same sequence under 1 other name.